This 388-nucleotide long non-coding RNA is filed under the name Setaria italica (foxtail millet). RNAcentral describes it as "long non-coding RNA (SITA_LNC003802)". The record is from RNAcentral. Lineage: Eukaryota; Viridiplantae; Streptophyta; Magnoliopsida; Poales; Poaceae.
GCAUCCUCGUCGUCGCUCCCUGACUUGGACUCUGACCCCGACGACGAGGAGGCCGCAGCCCUGCCAGCCAUGGCGGCGCGGCCAUGGCGCGAGGGGGGGGGGAUCAGCUAUUGUCCGCGUGGGAGGUCGAUUCGGCGCCUGCGGAGCUCGAGUCGACAGCGGCGAAGGUCGAUUCAGUGCCUGCGGAGGUCGAAUCGGCGGCGGCGGAGAUGCUCCUGGCAGAGCUUGCUCGAUGCGCGGGGAAAAGAACGACGUGGGGAGAGGAGGAGGAGAUGGAUUUGGCGCGAAAAAAUCCCACGCGCGCCCAAAUUGUUGUCCGCGCGGCAUCCGCGUGUGGUCGAUGAAGACGAGGGCCGUACAACGCUGCUGAACCGUCUCUUCCCGCAAC